Molecule: long non-coding RNA, 493 nt
Organism: Camelina sativa (false flax)
Lineage: Eukaryota; Viridiplantae; Streptophyta; Magnoliopsida; Brassicales; Brassicaceae
Source: RefSeq, a predicted model, not a curated record
CAGGAACCGUUCGACUCAUUAUCACCUAAUAAUCGCCCAGACAGAGGCAGUUUUUUUUUAAUUUAUCAAGAGUUCAUCAAGGUGGAGGGAAUACUCUGCGGCAAGCAGAGUCUUCCAACAUAAAACAGAUGGCACCUAACGACACUAGAUCCAAGAGGAUCAAAAAAAUUUUUGGAGAGAGGAAGACUUUAUGGGCUUGUUUGCUGAAUUGAUAAUGGGCUGAGUACUGCAGGAGCCCAUCUGUUUUAUGUUUCAAGACCCGACUCGGUUUGCUGGAGUAUUCCCUGAUUGUUUUAACAUUCUCAAUUGUUGGUGUUAAUAAUGACAAGCAAGAACUUUCAGGCCCUUUAUAUUAAAUCUUUGGCUAUAUUUAAGUACUUGGGCAUUGCACCGAGAGGGUAUCUGGAUUUGGAUAACUUUCUGAUUAGUUUGUUAAGUGCUCAUAAAGCUAAAUAAUCUCCAUCUUUAGCCGACAACUAGUUUCUGUUGUAUA